Molecule: ribosomal RNA, 495 nt
Filed under: uncultured bacterium
Lineage: Bacteria
Description: partial 16S ribosomal RNA
Rfam family: Bacterial small subunit ribosomal RNA
Source: RNAcentral
GACGAACGCUGGCGGCGUGCCUAAUACAUGCAAGUAGAACGCUGAAGGAGGAGCUUGCUCUUCUGGAUGAGUUGCGAACGGGUGAGUAACGCGUAGGUAACCUGCCUGGUAGCGGGGGAUAACUAUUGGAAACGAUAGCUAAUACCGCAUAACAGUAGAUGUUGCAUGACAUUUACUUAAAAGGUGCAAUUGCAUCACUACCAGAUGGACCUGCGUUGUAUUAGCUAGUUGGUGGGGUAACGGCUCACCAAGGCGACGAUACAUAGCCGACCUGAGAGGGGGAUCGGCCACACUGGGACUGAGACACGGCCCAGACUCCUACGGGAGGCAGCAGUAGGGAAUCUUCGGCAAUAGACGGAAGUCUGACCGAGCAACGCCGCGUGAGUGAAGAAGGGUUUCGGAUCGUAAAGCUCGGUUGUAAGAGAAGAACGAGUGUGAGAGUGGAAAGUUCACACUGUGACGGUAUCUUACCAGAAAGGGACGGCUAACUACGUG